GCAGAAAGCAAAGUGAUGGGUCUCCACACAAUCCUGGUUAUUAUUCUCUAUCCAGACACCAGAGCAGACAUGGCUUAACUUAAGCCUGGUAGUAGAACUGGUAUUGAAGUGCCUUUGCAUUCAUCCAAGAAAUAUUUUGAAUGAACCAGUGAUACUACAAGGUGAUGAAGAUACAAAGAUGAUCAAAGUGCACAUGGUCCCUGUCUUGAUGGAGCUCACAUUUUCAUGAUAGAGAACAAAAAUUAAAGAGGAAUCACA
This 258-nucleotide long non-coding RNA is filed under the name Vulpes vulpes (red fox). Its description in RNAcentral is "lncRNA (ENSVVUG00000019806.1)". Lineage: Eukaryota; Metazoa; Chordata; Mammalia; Carnivora; Canidae. The record is from RNAcentral.